Long non-coding RNA from Triplophysa dalaica, 906 nucleotides. RefSeq lists it as uncharacterized. The transcript is spliced from 3 exons. NCBI's taxonomy places the organism in Eukaryota, Metazoa, Chordata, Actinopteri, Cypriniformes, Nemacheilidae. The record is from RefSeq and is a predicted model, not a curated record.
CGCAGAGUCCGCAGACUGAGCGGCGUAUGACAUCAAACUACCGCAAAUCGCUCUCGCGGACUGUAAUGUUACGCUCGUGCUCCUGUCUAUCGACAGAGUGAAACAGACGCAACAUGUCAUAGACGCAGAGCGCGCACUCUCUGCCGCAUUCAGCAUGAACUGUCAGCACGAGACAGGCGCUCAAAGCCAGAGACCACCAGUUCAUAUGUAACGCCAUGGGCUGAAAACGGAAAAAUGAAACUUUGCAAGAAGAGAUGAUUCGAGACAACGACUCCAAGAGUACAAAGAUCAAGAGCCAGGCACUUUUCACUGAUGGAGCUUGAGGGAAGCGUCGUUGUGUACUGUACCGCCUCUACACAAGAGGAUCUCUUGUUCUGAUCGAGAGUGACUGUUACUGACAUUUUUAAACAGUGCAUCCCAAUGAUGUCACACCGUUUGCAAUCUGACGUAGGCAGGAAAAUUCAUGCAGAGAAUGACGGAGGUAAACACUUUUUUCCCCAUAGCCUACAUAAUAAAUUGUGUUUAUUCUUCAUAUUUUUUCAGGUGAUUUAUGGGAGUUUUUUGAUGAAAUCACAAAGUAAUGACAGUUUUGUUUGCCCAUAACCGAAACCUGCUGCUAAUCUUGUGUGUUUCUUUUAUAAUUGCACACAUGACUCUGCUCAGUGCACUAUUAUUUGGUAUGGUAAGCAUUUAUUGCUCUAUAAUCCACACUUAUGUGUUUCACUGCUGUUCGGCAUUGGUCAACCUAGUUUUUUAAAUACAAAUUUAAUUGCAAUUUCUAAAAUGCACCAUAGACAACUAGACAAAAUGUUAAAAAGAAAAAAAAUAAGGACUAAUGUGCUUCUACCUCAUUGGUCCCUGGUGGUAUGUGGACAUGUAUUAAAUAGAACACAUUUUUGAAAAUGA